UUUUUAUUCAGCACACCUCCACUGGAGGUUCUGCACUUUCUGGAGUCGGCUGGGCUGACAUCAUAUCUGGACCAAUUCUACAAUCACCACGUUGCUUCCUCCCAGCCACACCUUCAGACUUUGGAAAUGUUUAAUAUUUUGAUUUUUUUCCCCCUGUGAUCCGAUCCCAGGUUUGGGUACUAGCUUUAUCUAGCACUACACUCACAGUGUUUUCUCUUACAGUGCUGCUGUAAAUCACUCUGCCAGUUAACAGCACACGGUAUUUGGGGCAUACCUGUGUGUAAAAGUGACUCUCAUCCACGUGAUGCACAAUCCACACUGGAGUUGGUUUGGACAGCAGCAGGUCAUCCUGAUCACUCUGGUACGCCUGAGUUUAUAAGAGGGUGUUAUCCCAAGAAGUCUUCACAUUGUUCUGGGAGAGACACAGGGAAUAUCAUGAUGAUGAAACUGUGGGUAUAAAGAGGGGAAACACAGAGUUCAUAGAGAUUGGCUCAUCA
Molecule: long non-coding RNA, 497 nt
Filed under: Mus pahari (shrew mouse)
Lineage: Eukaryota; Metazoa; Chordata; Mammalia; Rodentia; Muridae
Description: lncRNA (MGP_PahariEiJ_G0003555.1)
Source: RNAcentral